RNAcentral lists this ribosomal RNA (443 nucleotides) under uncultured bacterium. Its description in RNAcentral is "partial 16S ribosomal RNA". It matches the Rfam family "Bacterial small subunit ribosomal RNA", at positions 338 to 795 of the family's 1533-position model. The record is from RNAcentral.
CCUACGGGUGGCAGCAGUGGGGAAUAUUGGGCAAUGGGCGCAAGCCUGACCCAGCAACGCCGCGUGAAGGAAGAAGGCUUUCGGGUUGUAAACUUCUUUUCUCAGGGAAGAAGACAGUACCGGUACCUGAGGAAUAAGCACCGCCUAACUCCGUCCCAGCAGCCGCGGUAAUCCGUAGGUGGCAAGCGUUAUCCGGAUUUAUUGGGUGUAAAGGGCGUGUAGGCGGGAGCGCAAGUCAGAUGUGAAAACUCAGGGCUCAACCCGGAGCCUGCAUUUGAAACUGUGUGUCUUGAGUGCUGGAGAGGUAAUCGGAAUUCCGUGUGUAGCGGUGAAAUGCGUAGAUAUACGGAGGAACACCAGUGGCGAAGGCGGAUUGCUGGACAAUAACUGACGCUGAGGCGCGAAAGCGUGGGGAGCAAACAGGAUUAGAUACCCUUGUAGUC